Molecule: ribosomal RNA, 496 nt
Filed under: uncultured bacterium
Lineage: Bacteria
Description: SSU rRNA
Rfam family: Bacterial small subunit ribosomal RNA
Source: RNAcentral
AGGACGAACGCUGGCGGCGUGCUUAACACAUGCAAGUGGAGCGACGAACCAGGGCUUGCCCUGGGGCAGAGCCGCGAACGGGUGAGUAACACGUGGGUUACCUGCCUCGAUGACCGGGACAACCCGAGGAAACUCGGGCUAAUACCGGAUGUGCCCGCAAGGGGAAAGGAAGCUUCGGCCUCCGCAUCGAGAUGGGCCCGCGGCCCAUUAGCUUGUUGGUGAGGUAACGGCUCACCAAGGCUUCGAUGGGUAGCUGGUCUGAGAGGACGAUCAGCCACACUGGGACUGAGACACGGCCCAGACUCCUACGGGAGGCAGCAGUGGGGAAUCUUGCGCAAUGCGCGAAAGCGUGACGCAGCAACGCCGCGUGGGGGAAGAAGGCUUUCGGGUUGUAAACCCCUUUCAGUUUGGGACGAAGCUUCUUUGGUGAAUAGCCAAACGGAGUGACGGUACCUUCAUAAGAAGCACCGGCUAACUACGUGCCAGCAGCCGCGGU